This is a long non-coding RNA of Vitis riparia (riverbank grape), 1104 nucleotides long. RefSeq lists it as uncharacterized. NCBI's taxonomy places the organism in Eukaryota, Viridiplantae, Streptophyta, Magnoliopsida, Vitales, Vitaceae. The record is from RefSeq and is a predicted model, not a curated record. The transcript has 2 exons.
GCUUUAGGAACUUGGAAGGCAUGACCUUACUCCAAUUUCCAAGAAUGAAACAUCUACAAUUCCUUAGAAUAUAUAGUUGUGGGGAGUUGCAAGACAUAAAAGUAGAUUUGAAAAAUGAGAGGGGUCAACAAGGAUUUGUUGCAGAUUAUAUACCAAACUCGAAUUUCUACUGCCUCCGAAGUGUACGUGUUCAUCAACUUCCAAAGGUUUUGGAUUUGACAUGGCUUAUUUACAUACCAAGUCUUGAAGAUCUUGAAGCAGGUGAAUGUGAUUCCAUGAAAGAAGUGAUAGGUGACACGAGUGUAGUCUCAGAAAAUUUUGGCAUAUUCUCAAGACUCAAAAUUCUGAGCUUGAGUAAUCUACCAAAUCUAGAGAGCAUCAGUGGACGAGCCUUGACAUUUCCUUCCCUGACGAAUCUCUGGGUGAAAAAAUGCCCAAACCUAAGGAAGCUGCCAUUUGAUUCAAACAGUGCAAGAAGCAGUUUAAAGACGAUUAGAGGAGAAUCAGAGUGGUGGGAGGGGUUGCAAUGGGAUGAUGAAACCACGAAGCACACUUUCAAUCCCUAUCUCGAAGAGACCAUCAUGUGAAGAAAUGAGAGGAUGGUGGAGAUCGCUCCCCUUCCUUCUCCCACCCUACUACUCUCUCAGAUUGUAUCAUUAGAGAAGUAUUUCUACAGACUGACCUCCCAGCUUUCUCGGAGCUCCACCCAGGAACUGCGGGGUUGCCUUGAAAUCAGUAAACUAUCGUCUUCAACAAAUAGUGAACUGGAUGAUGCCAGAAGCGCUGGCCGAGUGUUUGAAGAAAUGCUGGACUGAAACUUGAAUUCUUAGAAUAGGAUGAUCUGCAUACUGCUGAAAAUGAGCCAGGAGAAGAAGAAUUUACAAUGUUUCCAAGACGAGAUAAUAUGGAAUGAAGCCAAGCCAGGUGGCUCAACUUUUGUUGGUGUUCUACUACAUCUUGGUUUCUGAGGGUGGGCUGUGGAGGAUGGACUAGACAAUACUCGUAAGAGUCUAUGAGAUGGAUCGGGUGAAGUGGUUUUUAUUUACAGUAUUACACAUGUUGUCUGUAACGUAAUCAGUGAUGAAUCAAAAUUUUUUUAUUGAA